AGGUCAUUUUAAAGAGGGUUUCUGAGCUGCAAAACCAAGACCUCUAAAUGCUAUGAACAAAGACUGAAGUUCUCCACAGGAUAUCAGUCACUCAAUACUGUGUUUUCCUGAGGAGAGAUAAGA
Small nucleolar RNA from Lepus europaeus (European hare), 123 nucleotides. RefSeq annotates it as small nucleolar RNA SNORA25. Lineage: Eukaryota; Metazoa; Chordata; Mammalia; Lagomorpha; Leporidae. The transcript has a single exon. The record is from RefSeq and is a predicted model, not a curated record.